This 297-nucleotide ribosomal RNA is filed under the name uncultured bacterium. RNAcentral describes it as "partial 16S ribosomal RNA". It matches the Rfam family "Bacterial small subunit ribosomal RNA", at positions 28 to 334 of the family's 1533-position model. The record is from RNAcentral.
GAUGAACGCUGGCGGCGUGCCUAAUACAUGCAAGUCGGACGGAGCGCUUCGGCGCUCAGUGGCGAACGGGUGAGUAGCACAUGGGCAACCUGCCCUUCAGAGGGGGACAACAGCUGGAAACGGCUGCUAAUACCGCAUAAGACCACAGCACCGCAUGGUGCAGGGGUAAAAACUCCGGUGGUAUGAGAUGGAUCCGCGUCUGAUUAGCUAGUUGGUAAGGUAACGGCUUACCAAGGCAACGAUCAGUAGCCGACCUGAGAGGGUGACCGGCCACAUUGGGACUGAGACACGGCCCAA